RNAcentral lists this ribosomal RNA (467 nucleotides) under uncultured bacterium. Its description in RNAcentral is "partial 16S ribosomal RNA". It matches the Rfam family "Bacterial small subunit ribosomal RNA", at positions 29 to 507 of the family's 1533-position model. The record is from RNAcentral.
ACGCACGCUGGCGGCGUGCUUAACACAUGCAAGUCGAACGGAAAGGCCCUGCUUUUGUGGGGUGCUCGAGUGGCGAACGGGUGAGUAACACGUGAGUAACCUGCCCUUGACUUUGGGAUAACUUCAGGAAACCGGGGCUAAUACCGGAUAGGAGCUCCUGCUGCCUGGUGGGGGUUGGAAAGUUUCGGCGGUUGGGGAUGGACUCGCGGCUUAUCAGCUUGUUGGUGGGGUAGUGGCUUACCAAGGCUUUGACGGGUAGCCGGCCUGAGAGGGUGACCGGCCACAUUGGGACUGAGAUACGGCCCAGACUCCUACGGGAGGCAGCAGUGGGGAAUAUUGCACAAUGGGCGGAAGCCUGAUGCAGCAACGCCGCGUGCGGGAUGACGGCCUUCGGGUUGUAAACCGCUUUCGCCUGUGACGAAGCGUGAGUGACGGUAAUGGGUAAAGAAGCACCGGCUAACUACGUG